UAGAGGAGCGUUCUGUAAGCCUGUGAAGGUGAGUUGAGAAGCUUGCUGGAGGUAUCAGAAGUGCGAAUGCUGACAUGAGUAACGACAAUGGGUGUGAAAAACACCCACGCCGAAAGACCAAGGGUUCCUGCGCAACGUUAAUCGACGCAGGGUUAGUCGGUUCCUAAGGCGAGGCUGAAAAGCGUAGUCGAUGGGAAACAGGUUAAUAUUCCUGUACUUCUGGUUACUGCGAUGGAGGGACGGAGAAGGCUAGGCCAGCUUGGCGUUGGUUGUCCAAGUUUAAGGUGGUAGGCUGAAAUCUUAGGUAAAUCCGGGGUUUCAAGGCCGAGAGCUGAUGACGAGUCGUCUUUUAGAUGACGAAGUGGUUGAUGCCAUGCUUCCAAGAAAAGCUUCUAAGCUUCAGGUAACCAGGAACCGUACCCCAAACCGACACAGGUGGUCGGGUAGAGAAUACCAAGGCGCUUGAGAGAACUCGGGUGAAGGAACUAGGCAAAAUGGCACCGUAACUUCGGGAGAAGGUGCGCCGGCUAGGGUGAAGGAUUUACUCCGUAAGCUCUGGCUGGUCGAAGAUACCAGGCCGCUGCGACUGUUUAUUAAAAACACAGCACUCUGCAAACACGAAAGUGGACGUAUAGGGUGUGACGCCUGCCCGGUGCCGGAAGGUUAAUUGAUGGGGUUAGCGCAAGCGAAGCUCUUGAUCGAAGCCCCGGUAAACGGCGGCCGUAACUAUAACGGUCCUAAGGUAGCGAAAUUCCUUGUCGGGUAAGUUCCGACCUGCACGAAUGGCGUAACGAUGGCGGCGCUGUCUCCACCCGAGACUCAGUGAAAUUGAAAUCGCUGUGAAGAUGCAGUGUAUCCGCGGCUAGACGGAAAGACCCCGUGAACCUUUACUGUAGCUUUGCACUGGACUUUGAGCCUGCUUGUGUAGGAUAGGUGGGAGGCUUUGAAGCGUGGACGCCAGUUCGCGUGGAGCCAUCCUUGAAAUACCACCCUGGCAUGCUUGAGGUUCUAACUCUGGUCCGUGAUCCGGAUCGAGGACAGUGUAUGGUGGGCAGUUUGACUGGGGCGGUCUCCUCCUAAAGAGUAACGGAGGAGUACGAAGGUGCGCUCAGACCGGUCGGAAAUCGGUCGUAGAGUAUAAAGGCAAAAGCGCGCUUGACUGCGAGACAGACACGUCGAGCAGGUACGAAAGUAGGUCUUAGUGAUCCGGUGGUUCUGUAUGGAAGGGCCAUCGCUCAACGGAUAAAAGGUACUCCGGGGAUAACAGGCUGAUACCGCCCAAGAGUUCAUAUCGACGGCGGUGUUUGGCACCUCGAUGUCGGCUCAUCACAUCCUGGGGCUGAAGCCGGUCCCAAGGGUAUGGCUGUUCGCCAUUUAAAGUGGUACGCGAGCUGGGUUUAGAACGUCGUGAGACAGUUCGGUCCCUAUCUGCCGUGGACGUUUGAGAUUUGAGAGGGGCUGCUCCUAGUACGAGAGGACCGGAGUGGACGAACCUCUGGUGUUCCGGUUGUCACGCCAGUGGCAUUGCCGGGUAGCUAUGUUCGGAAAAGAUAACCGCUGAAAGCAUCUAAGCGGGAAACUUGCCUCAAGAUGAGAUCUCACUGGGAACUUGAUUCCCCUGAAGGGCCGUCGAAGACUACGACGUUGAUAGGCUGGGUGUGUAAGCGUUGU
Molecule: ribosomal RNA, 1671 nt
Filed under: Pseudomonas aeruginosa
Lineage: Bacteria; Pseudomonadati; Pseudomonadota; Gammaproteobacteria; Pseudomonadales; Pseudomonadaceae
Description: bacterial LSU rRNA
Rfam family: Bacterial large subunit ribosomal RNA
Source: RNAcentral